UGAAGCAAGCCAAGUCUGUGGGUGACCUCGCC
Molecule: non-coding RNA, 32 nt
Filed under: Homo sapiens (human)
Lineage: Eukaryota; Metazoa; Chordata; Mammalia; Primates; Hominidae
Source: RNAcentral